GACGAACGCUGGCGGCGUGCUUAACACAUGCAAGUCGAACGGAAAGGCCCGCUUGCGGGUACUCGAGUGGCGAACGGGUGAGUAACACGUGGGCAACCUGCCCUCAGCUCUGGAAUAACUCCGGGAAACCGGUGCUAAUACUGGAUACGACUGCGCAUCGCAUGGUGUGUGGUGGAAAGUUUUUCGGCUGAGGAUGGGCCCGCGGCCUAUCAGCUUGUUGGUGGGGUAAUGGCCUACCAAGGCGACGACGGGUAGCCGGCCUGAGAGGGCGACCGGCCACACUGGGACUGAGACACGGCCCAGACUCCUACGGGAGGCAGCAGGGGGGAAUAUUGCGCAAUGGGCGAAAGCCUGACGCAGCGACGCCGCGUGAGGGAUGACGGCCUUCGGGUUGUAAACCUCUUUCAGCUCUGACGAAGCGAAAGUGACGGUAGGAGCAGAAGAAGCACCGGCCAACUACGUGCCAGCAGCCGCCGUAA
RNAcentral lists this ribosomal RNA (479 nucleotides) under uncultured bacterium. Its description in RNAcentral is "partial 16S ribosomal RNA". It matches the Rfam family "Bacterial small subunit ribosomal RNA", at positions 28 to 523 of the family's 1533-position model. The record is from RNAcentral.